UACGAAGGGGGCUAGCGUUGUUCGGAAUUACUGGGCGUAAAGCGCACGUAGGCGGAUAUUUAAGUCAGGGGUGAAAUCCCCAGGCUCAACCUGGGAACUGCGUCGGAUACUGGAUGGCUUGAAUUCGGGAGAGGGAUGCAGAAUUCCAGGUGUAGCGGUGAAAUGCGUAGAUAUCUGGAGGAACACCGGUGGCGAAGGCGGCAUCCUGGACCGGCAUUGACGCUGAGGCGCGAAAGCCAGGGGAGCAAACGGG
Molecule: ribosomal RNA, 253 nt
Filed under: uncultured bacterium
Lineage: Bacteria
Description: partial 16S ribosomal RNA
Rfam family: Bacterial small subunit ribosomal RNA
Source: RNAcentral